This 253-nucleotide ribosomal RNA is filed under the name uncultured bacterium. RNAcentral's name for it is "partial 16S ribosomal RNA". It matches the Rfam family "Bacterial small subunit ribosomal RNA", at positions 524 to 776 of the family's 1533-position model. The record is from RNAcentral.
UACGUAGGGUGCAAGCGUUAAUCGGAAUUACUGGGCGUAAAGCGUGCGCAGGCGGUUAUGUAAGACAGGGGUGAAAUCCCCGGGCUCAACCUGGGAACUGCAUCCGAAACUGCCUUGCUAGAGUAUGGGAGAGGGAAGUGGAAUUUCCGGUGUAGCGGUGAAAUGCGUAGAUAUCGGAAGGAACAUCAGUGGCGAAGGCGACUUCCUGGACCAAUACUGACGCUCAGGUGCGAAAGCGUGGGGAGCAAACAGG